This 397-nucleotide unclassified non-coding RNA is filed under the name Galium tricorne. RNAcentral's name for it is "partial external transcribed spacer". The record is from RNAcentral. Lineage: Eukaryota; Viridiplantae; Streptophyta; Magnoliopsida; Gentianales; Rubiaceae.
GUCGGAUCCUGCCCGUGCAGCGACGAUUAUUCAUGCGUUCCUCUUCAAGUCUAGGCACAAGUGCUAUCUAGCCUUGGCCGAAACUCGGGUUUCCUGUAUUGCAUACCUACUUGAUGGAAUUUCUAGUCGCCUAUCGAACGGUCGCCUAAUGCCAUCCUAGUCGGUGGUUGCGGGUGAUCCACAAAGCGAGAUUUGCGAUCCUCAAUGCAGAGUACUCGUACCCAUUGCUAUUGAGGCCCGCAUUUCUUCGCUCGGACUGAGGGAUUUGGUGCAUGCAGUGGGCAUUGGUUCUCUCGUAGAACCUCUUUUUGCCACAAAAUCGAAAACAAUCCGAACGACGUUCGAUGGUGUGCUGGCCCUGUGCCACGCACCUCGAUGUCCGCGAGGAAUGCUACCU